RNAcentral lists this unclassified non-coding RNA (382 nucleotides) under soil metagenome. RNAcentral's name for it is "partial contains 5.8S ribosomal RNA, internal transcribed spacer 2, and large subunit ribosomal RNA". The stretch from base 1 to 120 matches the Rfam family "5.8S ribosomal RNA", at positions 35 to 154 of the family's 154-position model. The record is from RNAcentral.
GAUGAAGAACGUAGCGAAAUGCGAUAAGUAAUGUGAAUUGCAGAAUUCAGUGAAUCAUCGAAUCUUUGAACGCACCUUGCACCCUUUGGCAUUCCGAAGGGUAUGCUCGUUUGAGUGUCAUUGUACUCUCACACUUCUGAUCCUUUGGAUUGGGAGCGGUGGACUUGGGUGUUGCUGCUUUACUGUGGCUCACCUCAAAUGCAUUCGUGCAACUCUUGGUUGGACAUAGUACGGCGUGAUAAGUAUCUUCGCCGGCACCUCGCAAGAGGGUGGCUGAUCAGGAGCUCUGUGCUUUCCAACUGUCUUCAGACAACAACUGACAACUUGACCUCAAAUCGAGUAGGACCACCCGCUGAACUUAAGCAUAUCAAUAAGCGGAGGA